GUCACCUACGGGAGGCAGCAGUGGGGAAUAUUGCACAAUGGGGGAAACCCUGAUGCAGCAACGCCGCGUGAGUGAAGAAGGUUUUCGGAUUGUAAAGCUCUGUUAGCAGGGAAGAGGAAGGACGGUACCUGCAGAGGAAGCCACGGCUAACUGCGUGCCAGCAGCCGCGGUAAUACGUAGGUGGCAAGCGUUGUUCGGAAUAACUGGGCGUAAAGGAUGCGUAGGCGGUUAGACAAGGUAUAUGUUAAA
This 249-nucleotide ribosomal RNA is filed under the name uncultured bacterium. RNAcentral's name for it is "partial 16S ribosomal RNA". It matches the Rfam family "Bacterial small subunit ribosomal RNA", at positions 334 to 599 of the family's 1533-position model. The record is from RNAcentral.